GUGCCAGCCGCCGCGGUAAUACCGGCAGCCCGAGUGAUGGCCGAUUUUAUUGGGCCUAAAGCGUCCGUAGCUGGCCGCGCAAGUCUGUCGGGAAAUCCACCCGCUUAACGGGUGGGCGUCCGGCGGAAACUGUGCGGCUUGGGACAGGAAGGCUCGAGGGGUACGUUCGGGGUAGGAGUGAAAUCCCGUAAUCCUGGACGGACCGCUGAUGGCGAAAGCACGUCGCGAGGACGGAUCCGACAGUGAGGGACGAAAGCCAGGGUCUCGAACCGGAUUAGAUACCCCUGUAGUCC
This 293-nucleotide ribosomal RNA is filed under the name uncultured prokaryote. Its description in RNAcentral is "partial 16S ribosomal RNA". It matches the Rfam family "Archaeal small subunit ribosomal RNA", at positions 455 to 747 of the family's 1478-position model. The record is from RNAcentral.